GAGUUUGAUCCUGGCUCAGAUUGAACGCUGGCGGCAUGCCUUACACAUGCAAGUCGAACGGCAGCACGGGAGCUUGCUCCUGGUGGCGAGUGGCGAACGGGUGAGUAAUGCAUCGGAACGUAUCCUGGAGUGGGGGAUAACGUAGCGAAAGUUACGCUAAUACCGCAUAUUCUGUGAGCAGGAAAGCGGGGGACCUUCGGGCCUCGCGCUCUUGGAGCGGCCGAUGUCAGAUUAGCUAGUUGGUGAGGUAAAGGCUCACCAAGGCGACGAUCCGUAGCAGGUCUGAGAGGAUGAUCUGCCACACUGGAACUGAGACACGGUCCAGACUCCUACGGAGGCAGCAGUGGGAAUUUUGGACAAUGGGGGCAACCCUGAUCCAGCCAUGCCGCGUGAGUGAAGAAGGCCUGG
This 408-nucleotide ribosomal RNA is filed under the name bacterium enrichment culture clone ALO1_GLFRUDD03HIYFZ. Its description in RNAcentral is "bacterial SSU rRNA". It matches the Rfam family "Bacterial small subunit ribosomal RNA", at positions 9 to 419 of the family's 1533-position model. The record is from RNAcentral.